GAUGAACGCUGGCGGCGUGCCUAAUACAUGCAAGUCGAGCGAACAGACGAGGAGCUUGCUCCUUCGACGUUAGCGGCGGACGGGUGAGUAACAUGUAGGUAACCUACCUAUAAGACUGGGAUAACUUCGGGAAACCGGAGCUAAUACCGGAUAAUAUUUCGAACCGCAUGGUUCGAUAGUGAAAGAUGGCUUUGCUAUCACUUAUAGAUGGACCUGCGCCGUAUUAGCUAGUUGGUAAGGUAACGGCUUACCAAGGCAACGAUACGUAGCCGACCUGAGAGGGUGAUCGGCCACACUGGAACUGAGACACGGUCCAGACUCCUACGGGAGGCAGCAGUAGGGAAUCUUCCGCAAUGGGCGAAAGCCUGACGGAGCAACGCCGCGUGAGUGAUGAAGGUCUUCGGAUCGUAAAACUCUGUUAUUAGGGAAGAACAAACGUGUAAGUAACUGUGCACGUCUUGACGGUACCUAAUCAGAAAGCCACGGCUAACUACGUG
This 497-nucleotide ribosomal RNA is filed under the name uncultured bacterium. RNAcentral's name for it is "partial 16S ribosomal RNA". It matches the Rfam family "Bacterial small subunit ribosomal RNA", at positions 28 to 507 of the family's 1533-position model. The record is from RNAcentral.